CAAUAGCAUAUAUUAACGUUGUUGCAGUUGAAAAGCUCGUAGUUGAACUUUUGGUAGGAGCGACCUGGCCUUGGGCGCAUGCCCUUGUUUGCCGUGUGUCGUAUCUGGCCAUCCUUUUCCGCUUCGGCGGGAAUCCUUUACUGUGAGUAAACUGGAGUGCUCAAAACAAGACGUUUGUUUGGUACAUUAAAGCAUGGAAUAAUAAGAUAGGACCUGGUUACUAUUUUGUUGGUUUGCAUAGCUAGGUAAUGAUUAACAGGGACAGUUGGGGGUAUUCGUAUUUAAUUGUCAGAGGUGAAAUUCUUGGAUUUAUGAAAGGCGAACGACUGCGAAAGCAUUUACCAAGGAUGUUUUCAUUAA
RNAcentral lists this ribosomal RNA (360 nucleotides) under uncultured eukaryote. RNAcentral's name for it is "partial 18S ribosomal RNA". It matches the Rfam family "Eukaryotic small subunit ribosomal RNA", at positions 592 to 976 of the family's 1831-position model. The record is from RNAcentral.